Molecule: long non-coding RNA, 815 nt
Organism: Mauremys mutica (yellowpond turtle)
Lineage: Eukaryota; Metazoa; Chordata; Testudines; Geoemydidae
Exons: 6
Source: RefSeq, a predicted model, not a curated record
GCUCUCAAUGCUGAGGAGACCACCAUACUUUUUGCCUGAAUCAUUUCAAGAUAUCCUGAAGAUAUCAGUCAAGUUUUCUGAUUAAGCUAUGGAUAUUGACAUGGUCACUCGGCAUCAUCAGUUCCUGUUGACUUCAAACAGGGAAGAGGAUAUUCAUCACAGAACCUGAGCUCCCAAUCCUGCGAAGUUUCCUGCAUGUUCUUAACUUUAACACUGACUUCAAGUGUCUGCAGCAUUGAGGACCUGUUCAAAGCCGAUUGAAGGAAGUUAGAAGAUUUGUCACGGAACCGUUUUUCUUCAGGAAAAGAGAGAGAGGCUCUGAAUGAAGAAAUAUUUGAACUUCUCAAAUUGUUCAAACUGAAAAGAUGAAUGCUUGAAAACUAUGGCUGGUCCAGAGUCAUGUGCAUCAGAAUCUCCCUGAAAAAGGCAGCUGGGUCCAGCUCACUUUCCUUUUUGCCAUGGAGUUCAAGCCACAGAGUGCUGCACAGGGAGCACUCUCAGGCCCUUGUUCAGACAGAUGGUAGUGGAUUGGAAGGAAACAUCUAUGCCUCAGCUCUGGAUCCAGAUUUCCCCAAAGCUUAGGAGUGCUUGAAUCUAGGAUUUUGGGUAUUAUGAAGUGCUACUAUUUUAAGGAACAAAUAAUUAAUACAACUACUUCAAUUGCAUUUGUACAAGAGCUUGAAUCAUUUUAUUUCUGGUAUUAUACAAUAUUAUACUUGAGCCAUUUCUUUUAUUUUAGCAGUUAGAGACCCAAUUGUGCUAGGGACCAUACACACACAUAAUAAGUAGAUGGUCUUUGUCACAAAGCUUGAAAA